GAUGAACGCUGGCGGCGUGCCUAAUACAUGCAAGUCGAGCGAACAGACGAGGAGUUUGCUCCUCUGACGUUAGCGGAGGACGGGUGAGUAACACGUGUAUAACCUACCUAUAAGACUGGGAUAACUUCGGGAAACCGGAGCUAAUACCGGAUAAUAUAUUGCACCGCAUGGUUCAUUAGUGAAAGUCGGUUUUGCUGUCACUUAUAGAUGGAUCCGCGCCGCAUGAGCUAGUUGGUAAGGUAACGGCUUACCAAGGCAACUAUGCGUAGCCGACCUGAGAGGGUGAUCGGCCACACUGGAACUGAGACACGGUCCAGACUCCUACGGGAGGCAGCAGUAGGGAAUCUUCCGCAAUGGGCGAGAGCCUGACGGAGCAAAGCGGCGUGAGUGAUGAAGGUCUUCGGAUCGUAAAGCUCUGUUAUUAGGGAAGAACAAAUGUGUAAGUAACUAUGCACGUAUUGACGGUACCGAAUCAGAAAGCCACGGCUAACUACGUG
RNAcentral lists this ribosomal RNA (497 nucleotides) under uncultured bacterium. RNAcentral's name for it is "partial 16S ribosomal RNA". It matches the Rfam family "Bacterial small subunit ribosomal RNA", at positions 28 to 507 of the family's 1533-position model. The record is from RNAcentral.